AUGCUACCUGGUUGAUCCUGCCAGUAGUCAUAUGCUUGUCUCAAAAUCCCGCG
This 53-nucleotide ribosomal RNA is filed under the name Staehelina fruticosa. RNAcentral's name for it is "partial 18S ribosomal RNA". Lineage: Eukaryota; Viridiplantae; Streptophyta; Magnoliopsida; Asterales; Asteraceae. The record is from RNAcentral.